AAGGCUAAAUACUCCUGACUGACCGAUAGUGAACCAGUACCGUGAGGGAAAGGCGAAAAGAACCCCGGCGAGGGGAGUGAAAAAGAACCUGAAACCGUGUACGUACAAGCAGUGGGAGCCCCACCACUAAGCCAGUGGUGAACUCCACAUACGCAUCCUUUGCUGAGGAUACGGUUAACGGAGCGAAAGCGACGUUCAACCGCAAAAGAAGCAGAGGGGGCUUAGUGGUGGGGUGACUGCGUACCUUUUGUAUAAUGGGUCAGCGACUUAUAUUCUGUAGCAAGGUUAACCGUAUAGGGGAGCCGUAGGGAAACCGAGUCUUAACCGGGCGUUAAGUUGCAGGGUAUAGACCCGAAACC
This 359-nucleotide ribosomal RNA is filed under the name Salmonella enterica subsp. enterica serovar Typhimurium. Its description in RNAcentral is "partial 23S ribosomal RNA". It matches the Rfam family "Bacterial large subunit ribosomal RNA", at positions 462 to 722 of the family's 2925-position model. The record is from RNAcentral. Lineage: Bacteria; Pseudomonadati; Pseudomonadota; Gammaproteobacteria; Enterobacterales; Enterobacteriaceae.